UACGAAGGGGGCUAGCGUUGCUCGGAAUCACUGGGCGUAAAGCGCACGUAGGCGGAUUGUUAAGUCAGGGGUGAAAUCCUGGAGCUCAACUCCAGAACUGCCUUCGAUACUGGCGAUCUUGAGUCCGGGAGAGGUGAGUGGAACUGCGAGUGUAGAGGUGAAAUUCGUAGAUAUUCGCAAGAACACCAGUGGCGAAGGCGGCUCACUGGCCCGGUACUGACGCUGAGGUGCGAAAGCGUGGGGAGCAAACAGG
Molecule: ribosomal RNA, 253 nt
Filed under: uncultured bacterium
Lineage: Bacteria
Description: partial 16S ribosomal RNA
Rfam family: Bacterial small subunit ribosomal RNA
Source: RNAcentral